RNAcentral lists this microRNA precursor (84 nucleotides) under Chlorocebus sabaeus (green monkey). Its description in RNAcentral is "mir-548 microRNA precursor family". It matches the Rfam family "mir-548 microRNA precursor family". RNAcentral also lists the same sequence under 4 other names. Lineage: Eukaryota; Metazoa; Chordata; Mammalia; Primates; Cercopithecidae. The record is from Rfam by way of RNAcentral.
UAUUAGGUUGGUGCAAAAGUAAUUGCGAUUUUUGCCAUUACUUUCAAUGGCAAAAACUGCAAUUACUUUUGCACCAACCUAAUA